RNAcentral lists this long non-coding RNA (1003 nucleotides) under Mus musculus (house mouse). RNAcentral's name for it is "long non-coding RNA chr12:84980602-84981605". The record is from RNAcentral. Lineage: Eukaryota; Metazoa; Chordata; Mammalia; Rodentia; Muridae.
GUAUCCUCAUCUCUUUUGAAAUGUUUACUCUGCAGAGGUGGGGUUUCAGUGGCUAAGAGCACUAGCUGUUCUUGCUGAGGACCCAGAUUCAGAUGCCAACACUCACAUAGGUGAUUCACAACCUCCUGCUCCUGUAAUUCCACUUCUCAUGCCUCUUUUGACCUCUGCAGACACUGCACCCACUUGGUGCACACAUACACUGAGCGUCCACAAACACUAGAGAUAUAAUUGCAUAUAUGUUUUUAUCUAGUGAUACAGUAUAUACAUAUUAUAUAGUAUAUAAAACAGUUGUUCAUAAGUAGCAUAGACACCAUUUACUUGAAAAAAUAGAUUUAAAAGAUUGUGCUCUAACAAUAGUAGGAAGAGCAUGUGUUUGGGAUAGAAGUGUGAAUUCAGAGCUCAGUUCCUUGCCCAUUGAUAGGCAAAAGUAAACCAAUCUUUCUGAGUUCAAAGCCAGCCUCCACUACAUAGUGAGUUUCAGGCAAGCCAGGGCUACACAGUGAGAUCCUGUCUUGAACAAAACAAAAACAAUCCCAACAUCUGCGGUAACUUAGUAUAUGAUUUGGGAUAGUGACUAGGUCUUUAUUCCACAAAUCCCCUGUAACGUGUUUAAAUGUAUUCGUGUAGCUGUAAUAAUAUGUCACAUCCUAUCCCCUCCUCCCCAGUGGAUCUUAAAUAAGGUUCCAUUUCCACCACAUGCAGGAAUGGUCUUCCUCCAUCCUAACUCAGAAAUGUUUUCUUCGUUUGGUCUUACUCUCUCCCAGGGUGCUAUCACAUAUGUGCCCUGGGUUGAUUCCUUUUUUAAUUCUUCCACUCUGAACUGCUCACAAAACAACAUAAGAUUCUUGCAUAAGAACCGUCCUCAAGUUGGAGUUGUAGCCCAGUGGUAGAGUGCUGCCUAGUGUGCACCAGGCCUUGGCUUUAAUUCUCAGCCACAGUACUGGAGAGAGAGGUGGAGAGGGGAGAAAAGAAGAAGGGAGGGAGAGAAAAGAGCCUGACCCUU